RNAcentral lists this ribosomal RNA (2932 nucleotides) under Klebsiella aerogenes. RNAcentral describes it as "bacterial LSU rRNA". It matches the Rfam family "Bacterial large subunit ribosomal RNA". The record is from RNAcentral. Lineage: Bacteria; Pseudomonadati; Pseudomonadota; Gammaproteobacteria; Enterobacterales; Enterobacteriaceae.
GGGUUGUGAGGUUAAGCGACUAAGCGUACACGGUGGAUGCCCUGGCAGUCAGAGGCGAUGAAGGACGUGCUAAUCUGCGAAAAGCGUCGGUAAGGUGAUAUGAACCGUUACAGCCGGCGAUGUCCGAAUGGGGAAACCCAGUGUGAUUCGUCACACUAUCGUUAACUGAAUACAUAGGUUAACGAGGCGAACCGGGGGAACUGAAACAUCUAAGUACCCCGAGGAAAAGAAAUCAACCGAGAUUCCCCCAGUAGCGGCGAGCGAACGGGGAGCAGCCCAGAGUCUGAAUCAGCUUGUGUGUUAGUGGAACGGUCUGGAAAGUCCGACGGUACAGGGUGAUAGUCCCGUACACCAAAAUGCACAGGCUGUGAACUCGAAGAGUAGGGCGGGACACGUGGUAUCCUGUCUGAAUAUGGGGGGACCAUCCUCCAAGGCUAAAUACUCCUGACUGACCGAUAGUGAACCAGUACCGUGAGGGAAAGGCGAAAAGAACCCCGGCGAGGGGAGUGAAAAAGAACCUGAAACCGUGUACGUACAAGCAGUGGGAGCACCUUCGGGUGUGACUGCGUACCUUUUGUAUAAUGGGUCAGCGACUUAUAUUCUGUAGCAAGGUUAACCGUAUAGGGGAGCCGCAGGGAAACCGAGUCUUAACUGGGCGUUAAGUUGCAGGGUAUAGACCCGAAACCCGGUGAUCUAGCCAUGGGCAGGUUGAAGGUUGGGUAACACUAACUGGAGGACCGAACCGACUAAUGUUGAAAAAUUAGCGGAUGACUUGUGGCUGGGGGUGAAAGGCCAAUCAAACCGGGAGAUAGCUGGUUCUCCCCGAAAGCUAUUUAGGUAGCGCCUCGUGAACUCAUCUUCGGGGGUAGAGCACUGUUUCGGCUAGGGGGUCAUCCCGACUUACCAACCCGAUGCAAACUACGAAUACCGAAGAAUGUUAUCACGGGAGACACACGGCGGGUGCUAACGUCCGUCGUGAAGAGGGAAACAACCCAGACCGCCAGCUAAGGUCCCAAAGUCACAGUUAAGUGGGAAACGAUGUGGGAAGGCACAGACAGCCAGGAUGUUGGCUUAGAAGCAGCCAUCAUUUAAAGAAAGCGUAAUAGCUCACUGGUCGAGUCGGCCUGCGCGGAAGAUGUAACGGGGCUAAACUGUGCACCGAAGCUGCGGCAGCGACACUAUGUGUUGUUGGGUAGGGGAGCGUUCUGUAAGCCUGCGAAGGUGGCCUGUGAGGGUUGCUGGAGGUAUCAGAAGUGCGAAUGCUGACAUAAGUAACGAUAAUGCGGGUGAAAAGCCCGCACGCCGGAAGACCAAGGGUUCCUGUCCAACGUUAAUCGGGGCAGGGUGAGUCGACCCCUAAGGCGAGGCCGAAAGGCGUAGUCGAUGGGAAACAGGUUAAUAUUCCUGUACUUGGUGUUACUGCGAAGGGGGGACGGAGAAGGCUAUGUUAGCCGGGCGACGGUUGUCCCGGUUUAAGCAUGUAGGCGGAGGUUCCAGGUAAAUCCGGUACCUUUUUAACGCUGAGGUGUGAUGACGAGGCACUACGGUGCUGAAGUAACAAAUGCCCUGCUUCCAGGAAAAGCCUCUAAGCAUCAGGUAACAUUAAAUCGUACCCCAAACCGACACAGGUGGUCAGGUAGAGAAUACCAAGGCGCUUGAGAGAACUCGGGUGAAGGAACUAGGCAAAAUGGUGCCGUAACUUCGGGAGAAGGCACGCUGAUAUGUAGGUGAAGCCCCUGCGGGUGGAGCUGAAAUCAGUCGAAGAUACCAGCUGGCUGCAACUGUUUAUUAAAAACACAGCACUGUGCAAACACGAAAGUGGACGUAUACGGUGUGACGCCUGCCCGGUGCCGGAAGGUUAAUUGAUGGGGUUAUCCGUAAGGAGAAGCUCUUGAUCGAAGCCCCGGUAAACGGCGGCCGUAACUAUAACGGUCCUAAGGUAGCGAAAUUCCUUGUCGGGUAAGUUCCGACCUGCACGAAUGGCGUAAUGAUGGCCAGGCUGUCUCCACCCGAGACUCAGUGAAAUUGAACUCGCUGUGAAGAUGCAGUGUACCCGCGGCAAGACGGAAAGACCCCGUGAACCUUUACUAUAGCUUGACACUGAACAUUGAGCCUUGAUGUGUAGGAUAGGUGGGAGGCUUUGAAGCGUGGACGCCAGUCUGCGUGGAGCCAACCUUGAAAUACCACCCUUUAAUGUUUGAUGUUCUAACGUUGGCCCCUUAUCGGGGUUGCGGACAGUGUCUGGUGGGUAGUUUGACUGGGGCGGUCUCCUCCCAAAGAGUAACGGAGGAGCACGAAGGUUAGCUAAUCCUGGUCGGACAUCAGGAGGUUAGUGCAAUGGCAUAAGCUAGCUUGACUGCGAGCGUGACGGCGCGAGCAGGUGCGAAAGCAGGUCAUAGUGAUCCGGUGGUUCUGAAUGGAAGGGCCAUCGCUCAACGGAUAAAAGGUACUCCGGGGAUAACAGGCUGAUACCGCCCAAGAGUUCAUAUCGACGGCGGUGUUUGGCACCUCGAUGUCGGCUCAUCACAUCCUGGGGCUGAAGUAGGUCCCAAGGGUAUGGCUGUUCGCCAUUUAAAGUGGUACGCGAGCUGGGUUUAGAACGUCGUGAGACAGUUCGGUCCCUAUCUGCCGUGGGCGCUGGAGAAUUGAGGGGGGCUGCUCCUAGUACGAGAGGACCGGAGUGGACGCAUCACUGGUGUUCGGGUUGUCAUGCCAAUGGCAUUGCCCGGUAGCUAAAUGCGGAAGAGAUAAGUGCUGAAAGCAUCUAAGCACGAAACUUGCCCCGAGAUGAGUUCUCCCUGACUCCUUGAGAGUCCUGAAGGAACGUUAAAGACGAUGACGUUGAUAGGUCGGGUGUGUAAGCGUAGCGAUACGUUGAGCUAACCGAUACUAAUGAACCGUGAGGCUUAACCUUACAACGCCGAAGGUGUUU